Long non-coding RNA from Myxocyprinus asiaticus (Chinese sucker), 838 nucleotides. RefSeq lists it as uncharacterized. The record is from RefSeq and is a predicted model, not a curated record. The transcript has 5 exons. Lineage: Eukaryota; Metazoa; Chordata; Actinopteri; Cypriniformes; Catostomidae.
UUGAGCAAUUUGAAUCAUUGUGAACUACUUAUUGUGUCUACUUAAUGUGUCAGGAACUGGGGUGAGGGCUAGGGAAUGAUACCCACUGAUAAAGCCCGGUAUUUAUUGACAACCACGAUAACCAGAGAGGACAUGGUGCUGGAGGUGCAUCUAUCGUCACAUUCUGGGAUGCCAGGUCUGAUGCUGGCCCACCCAUAUGGAGUCACCAGAGUAAUGUCCAGCUACCGCUGGGACCGCAACAUUGUUAAUGGACAGGACCAAAAUGAAGGAUAGGACCUCCCAGAUACAGUGAUAGACUCACUAAGCCCGUUCCCAUCAACCCUGACCUGUGGAGAUGGCUGAUUUUGUGAGCACGGAUGGCAUCAGAUCAACCAUUCACUAACUGAUGGGACAACCAGAACAACCAGAUGGCUUUCGGCCAUGGCAAUCGUGGAUUCAUUGUCAUCAACAAUGAUGACAUGUAAGAAUGAACUAUUUAAAGACAGGGAUCUGGAUGUGUCCCUGAACACUGGCAUGUCAGGAGGCACCUAUUGUGAUGUCAUCUCUGGACAGAAGGAAGGAAGCAGAUGCACUGGGAAAGAGGUGCAGGUUGGAGGAGAUGGACAUGCUAACUUCAGAUUCAGCAAAAUGGAAGAAGACCCAUUUAUUGCCAUCCAUGCUGACUCAAAACUGUAAAAGUUCAACAACAUAAAAAUAUAUUUUUUAACAUAUCAAAUACAACAAAUAUGUAGAAAUGACCAAAGGUGUUCCAGAGUUCUUGAAUGUAAACGUUGGUAAAAACCAGCCACUGGAAACUUAAAAUUUGCUUAAAAGUAUUUUGUAUUAUUUUCAGAGGUGA